Molecule: long non-coding RNA, 1667 nt
Organism: Ictalurus punctatus (channel catfish)
Lineage: Eukaryota; Metazoa; Chordata; Actinopteri; Siluriformes; Ictaluridae
Source: Ensembl
GAAAAAGUCUGUCACGCAGUCAUCGUGAAGGAGGUGUGGCCUCUGUGUCACUCAGUCAUAGUGAAGGAGGUGUGGCCUCUGUGUCACUCAGUCAUAGUGAAGGAGGUGUGGCCUCGGUAUCGGUUAGUCAUAAAGGAGGCGUGGCCUGUCAGUUAGUCCCAGGUCUAGUGAAGGAGGCGUGGCCCCUGUACCAAUCUCAAAAGAAGAAAUACAAACACCGAUUGAUUAUGAGAGAUAAAACAAACAGCAGCAUACCAGAACAGAGACCCGAGAACACUUCUCUCCACCAGUCUGUGGAAGUGUAAGGUGGCCAUGAUGAAGGCGAUCACCCACGUGCCCUACAGCCAAGCAUAAAGACAAAUACACUAAACACAGAGACAUGAUAAAGAGCAGAGCAGGAAGUUACACUAUUUUAUUGUAACUUUAAAUCAUGGCCGUACUCUCCAUACUCCCACAGUGAUCCCUUCAUCAAACUGGAACAGUUUCACCAGCCUGUCCGUCCCGAUAUGCCUCCAUUUGUCAACCCGUCUCACCAGCGUUUUACAGAUCAGAGAGCGCCACCGCGGCCUGGACCAGACACAAACACAUCUUCACUAACUUCCAAUGGCAUUUAACUCUGUUUUCCCAUUAGGGAAAAGCCUCCUGUAGUAGAUUUAUACUAGUCGUGACUAAAGGAGGUUGCUCACUUGGCUGGCGUGGUCGUGGGGGAACCCAGGACUCCGUGGAGCUGCAUGCUAAUGACGUUGUGAAUUUUCGGAAACACGCCGUCGCUCCAGCACACGGUUACGGACGAGUCGGAGAAAAACGCCUGAGAAUGCUCGGACAUGCUCUGCUUCCCUCGCCUAUAGAUCAGCGUGAUCUCCCAGACAACACGCAGACUCCUGCAGUGCACACACCACCUCUAAUUCAUAAUAAAUUAUACUCGCACAAUUCCUUUCUUAGUGUUCUUAGUGUCAUAGAUUCAAUCAUUCAGUUUUCAGAUGUUCAGUCACUCAAGUUUGCAAAUUUCACUGCAGAGACCCCCCUCAUAUAAACACCUCGUAUAAACACAGGAAUAACAGUCAGAGAAACGUAAAGGACAAGUUACAUGUCAACGCACUGACAAACGCAAACAUAUCGGCUCGAGUGAGGAGAAGAAUUAAGCCUGGAAACACACUCAAAACACACUAUAAAACACCAUUUGUGGUCAAUAUUAAAUAUAUACAUAUGAUUUGUUAAUAAUAUUAUCCCUUUAAAGUCAAAGAAACAUGUAUGACCUGAGGACCUGCUCGGUUUGCUGCGGCAUGCCCGUGCUCAGGUUCACGUGUCUCAGCUCCUUCUUCCACACCGCAUCGCUAUGGCAGCCCAUUUUUCUGAACAGCAGCCUCUUCCACACCGCCGCCGGGACAUCCUGCACGUCGGCGCUCACAGAGUCUGGCGUCUCGCACAACCUCGGCCUCCACUUCCUCCUGCCCAUCUCAUAGGAGUAUAACUCGUACCACAUCAUGCUGCGGGACACACACCACAGGGUUUAAAACAUCACGCUAUCUUUCCAUCCUCCAUCAAAUUGAUCUCCACGCGAACCCAAUAUCUCAAGAAAGAAACGGAAAUUUAGCGCUGAUGUUGAAAAAAAACAUCACUGACUUGUCAUCCGCCAGAUCUCGAAACUGUCGGUUAACAAAGCCGAC